This 76-nucleotide transfer RNA is filed under the name Gammaproteobacteria bacterium. Its description in RNAcentral is "tRNA-Lys". It matches the Rfam family "tRNA". Rfam says of the family: Transfer RNA (tRNA) molecules are approximately 80 nucleotides in length. Their secondary structure includes four short double-helical elements and three loops (D, anti-codon, and T loops). Lineage: Bacteria; Pseudomonadati; Pseudomonadota; Gammaproteobacteria. The record is from RNAcentral. RNAcentral also lists the same sequence under 1 other name.
GGGUCGUUAGCUCAGUUGGUAGAGCACCGGGCUUUUAACUCGUUGGUCCUGGGUUCGAGUCCCAGACGGCCCACCA